Molecule: ribosomal RNA, 207 nt
Filed under: uncultured bacterium
Lineage: Bacteria
Description: partial 16S ribosomal RNA
Rfam family: Bacterial small subunit ribosomal RNA
Source: RNAcentral
CGUGUAGGCGGCUAAGCAAGUCAGAGGUGAAAGCCCUGGGCUCAACCUGGGAACUGCCUUUGAAACUGCUUGGCUUGAGACCGGAAGAGGAUGGCGGAAUUCCCAGUGUAGAGGUGAAAUUCGUAGAUAUUGGGAAGAACACCGGUGGCGAAGGCGGCCAUCUGGUCCGGAUCUGACGCUGAGGCGCGAAAGCGUGGGGAGUAAACA